This 1388-nucleotide long non-coding RNA is filed under the name Sus scrofa (pig). RNAcentral describes it as "lncRNA (ENSSSCG00035002360.1, ENSSSCG00055003830.1, ENSSSCG00070014444.1)". The record is from RNAcentral. Lineage: Eukaryota; Metazoa; Chordata; Mammalia; Artiodactyla; Suidae.
CACAGGUGAGAGAGUUUGAGUGCACAGGUGUGCGUGCGUGUGAGCGUGCGUGCGUGCGUGCGAGAAGGUCAGAGUGCGCCGCGUGUCCGUGAGUGAAAGUGCGCGUUUUUGUGUUCAGAUGGAGGACGCCCCCAGCUCCCAGAAGAGCGGGCGACUUUCUUCCUCUCACGACUUGGGGAGAGGAGGAGGAGGACCGUUUCCGACGUGGACAGGUUUCGGCGUCUUAGGGGUCCAGGUAAAGGCGAUUCAAUUAUGGGAUAUGAGGCUGGUCAGGAAGCAUGAGAGCCUGCACCAUCCUGCAGGCCACAGAGACCUUCGGUGGACAGUUCUGAAUGGGAUAAAGCCUGCAGGCCAGUACUCCCAUGAGAGCUCUUCUCCCACAGGCUGACAUCAGGCUGCCACAGCCACCAGAUCCCCAAGUGGCUUCCUGGAUGAGAGAGAGUUGGAGACCAGGUGGGCUGCCCAGAGGCCAGAGCUGGACUUGAACUGAGGGCCUGCGUGGCCUGAACAAGCGGUGACCAGGACUAUAAUCCAGGGCACCCAUGGAGGCUUUCAAGGUUGGCCAGAUUCUCUGCAAACUCAGAUCCAGUCCUGGGCUGGGCCAGUUCUUGAGUGUGAACUCCUGAGAUCCAGCCUAGCACUGUUCUGGGAGUAGCAGCAGUUGUCACCUUCUCCAAAUCCACUGGCCUUUUAAAAAAUAGUUGGAAUUAAGUGAAUCGACUGACAAGGGAUUAAUCUCCAAAAUUUAUAAACAACUUCUGCAGCUCCAUACCAAAAAAAACCAAACAACCCCAUCCAAAAAUUGGCAGAAGAUCUAAACAGACAGUUCUCCAAAGAAGACAUACAGAUGGCUGAGAAACACAUGAAAAGAUGUUCAACAUCACUCAUUAUUAGAGAGAUGCAAAUCAAAACCACUAUGAGGUACCACCUUAUACCAGCCAGAAUGGCCAUCAUCCAAAAGUCUACAAACAAGAAGUGCUGGAGAGGGUGUGGAGAAAAAGGAACCCUAUGACACUGUUGGUGGGAUUGUAAAUUGGUGCAACCACUGUGGAAAGCAGUAUGGAGAUUCCUCAGAAAACUAAACAUAGAACUACCAUUUGAUCCAGCAAUCCCACUCCUGGGCAUCUACCCAGAGAAAACCACGACUCGAAAAGACACAUGUACUCCGAUGUUCAUUGACGCACUCUUUGCAAUAGCCAAGACAUGGAAACAACCUAAAUGUCCAUCGACAGAGGAGUGGAUCCAGAAGAUGUGGUACAUAUACACAAUGGAAUAUUACUCAGCCGUUAAAAAGAACGAAAUACCAGCAUUUUUUGCAAGAUGGAUGGACCUAGAAACUAUCAUGCUAAGUGAAGUCAGCCAUACAAUGAGACACCAACAUCAAAUGC